Astatotilapia calliptera (eastern happy) is the source of this 791-nucleotide long non-coding RNA. The record is from Ensembl. NCBI's taxonomy places the organism in Eukaryota, Metazoa, Chordata, Actinopteri, Cichliformes, Cichlidae.
GUUUGUGUUCAUCACCUUCCUGUUCUGUAGUUUAGGCGAACAGGAAAAUGAUGUUGUGUUGGCUGUGCUGUGUUGGCUGUGUUAUCCCGAGAGGGGAGAAACAACGAGAUCUCGUCUCCCCCCUUUUUUGUUUUUGUUUUUUUUUUUUUUUUUUUUUUCACCAUAUAAUCAACUCAUAACCCCUCAAGUUGACAGGACAACACAGGUACGUGUCAAAAUUCUUAAGAUCCUGUUUAGAAACCUAAAAAGGAAUUUCCUAUCAUUCAGUAGUCAUUUGUCUUAAACAAUCAACAAAAACAUGUCCCAAGUCGACCCUUUUAACCACUAAAUUUGUCGUGUCCUCACUUAAUCCUCAGACCAGUGUCUUUGUCUUUUAACGUUACGUUGUUGUCCUGCAACCCAAAGCGUUUAAUUGUCAGUAAUGUAUGAACUAUAUCAUUUAAAAACAGGUGUAUGUUAAGUGUCGCUACUUUAACCUUGCAUGUACGUGCACAUGUAUGUAAGCUGUUUCUUCAUUGCAUGUAUGGGUGCGUCUGUAUAUGGGUUACUUUAACUUUUUCUCAAACGAGGCAUGUCUCUAACACGCACAUGUGUCUGUUCCUCACCCUUCUCAUAUCUUUCUCUGGUUGUGUGUGGUUUUAUUUGUUUCAGUGAUUUACCAGGAACAUCUUUUCCUUUUCUCCAUGUCUUCCGCCAGAGGUUAACACCGGCUGGUGUGUGGAGUUGAUGACUGUCUCAACACAUGUUAAUUGUUCUCCCAAUGUGCUAAGAAUAACACCGGGACCCCAACC